CCUUACCUACCCUUGACAUGGCAGGAAUCCUGAAGAGAUUUGGGAGUGCUCGAAAGAGAACCUGCACACAGGUGCUGCAUGGCCGUCGUCAGCUCGUGUCGUGAGAUGUUGGGUUAAGUCCCGCAACGAGCGCAACCCUUGUCAUUAGUUGCUACGAAAGGGCACUCUAAUGAGACUGCCGGUGACAAACCGGAGGAAGGUGGGGAUGACGUCAGGUCCUCAUGGCCCUUAUGGGUAGGGCUACACACGUCAUACAAUGGCCGGUACAGAGGGCUGCCAACCCGCGAGGGGGAGCCAAUCCCAGAAAACCGGUCGUAGUCCGGAUCGUAGUCUGCAACUCGACUGCGUGGAGUCGGAAUCGCUAGUAAUCGCGGAUCAGCUUGCCGCGGUGAAUACGUUCCCGGGUCUUGUACACACCGCCCGUCACACCAUGGGAGCGGGUUCUGCCAGAAGUAGUUAGCCUAACCGCAAGGAGGGCGAUUACCACGGCAGGGUUCGUGACUGGGGUG
Molecule: ribosomal RNA, 509 nt
Filed under: uncultured bacterium
Lineage: Bacteria
Description: bacterial SSU rRNA
Rfam family: Bacterial small subunit ribosomal RNA
Source: RNAcentral